This 492-nucleotide ribosomal RNA is filed under the name uncultured bacterium. RNAcentral's name for it is "partial 16S ribosomal RNA". It matches the Rfam family "Bacterial small subunit ribosomal RNA", at positions 29 to 507 of the family's 1533-position model. The record is from RNAcentral.
AGUGAACGCUGGCGGUAGGCCUAACACAUGCAAGUCGAACGGCAGCACAGUAAGAGCUUGCUCUUACGGGUGGCGAGUGGCGGACGGGUGAGGAAUACAUCGGAAUCUACUUUUUCGUGGGGGAUAACGUAGGGAAACUUACGCUACUACCGCAUACGACCUACGGGUGAAAGCAGGGGAUCUUCGGACCUUGCGCGAUUGAAUGAGCCGAUGUCGGAUUAGCUAGUUGGCGGGGUAAAGGCUCACCAAGGCGACGAUCCGUAGCCGGUCUGAGAGGAUGAUCGGCCACACUGGAACUGAGACACGGUCCAGACUCCUACGGGAGGCAGCAGUGUGGAAUCUUGGACAAUGGGCGCAAGCCUGAUCCAGCCAUGCCGCGUGAGUGAUGAAGGCCUUCGGGUUGUAAAACCCUUUUAUUGGGAAAGAAAAGCAGGAGGUUAAAGCCCGGCUGUUCUGACGGUACCUAAAGAGUAAGCACCGGCUAACUUCGUG